UCUAGUAUGGCAGAAUAGUGCAAUGAAUUUAAGAUUCAUAUAUGGGUUAAUCAUCCUACUAGAA
Molecule: transfer RNA, 64 nt
Filed under: Insulaphylus sp. ph34
Lineage: Eukaryota; Metazoa; Arthropoda; Insecta; Hemiptera; Miridae
Also listed under: 1 other name
Description: tRNA-Leu
Source: RNAcentral